This 496-nucleotide ribosomal RNA is filed under the name uncultured bacterium. Its description in RNAcentral is "partial 16S ribosomal RNA". It matches the Rfam family "Bacterial small subunit ribosomal RNA", at positions 28 to 507 of the family's 1533-position model. The record is from RNAcentral.
GACGAACGCUGGCGGCGAGCCUAAUACAUGCAAGUAGAACGCUGAAGGAGGAGCUUGCUUCUCUGGAUGAGUUGCGAACGGGUGAGUAACGCGUAGGUAACCUGCCUGGUAGCGGGGGAUAACUAUUGGAAACGAUAGCUAAUACCGCAUAAGAGUAGAUGUUGCAUGACAUUUGCUUAAAAGGUGCAAUUGCAUCACUACCAGAUGGACCUGCGUUGUAUUAGCUAGUUGGUGGGGUAACGGCUUACCAAGGCGACGAUACAUAGCCGACCUGAGAGGGUGAUCGGCCACACUGGGACUGAGACACGGCCCAGACUCCUACGGGAGGCAGCAGUAGGGAAUCUUCGGCAAUGGACGGAAGUCUGACCGAGCAACGCCGCGUGAGUGAAGAAGGUUUUCGGAUCGUAAAGCUCUGUUGUAAGAGAAGAACGAGUGUGAGAGUGGAAAGUUCACACUGUGACGGUAUCUUACCAGAAAAGGGACGGCUAACUACGUG